Molecule: long non-coding RNA, 615 nt
Organism: Momordica charantia (bitter melon)
Lineage: Eukaryota; Viridiplantae; Streptophyta; Magnoliopsida; Cucurbitales; Cucurbitaceae
Source: RefSeq, a predicted model, not a curated record
CGACUUCUGAAUCCCAUAAUCUGGAGCUUCUUCAUCUUAUAAAACGUUACUUCCUCCUAGUUGACAGCUAAACCUUCUCCACUCAAAUGAGAUCCCUAAGACUUGCUAUCUUUCUUAUUUUCUUCUUCUGCUUUGCUCUGGUUGGGCAUGGAAGAGUAAACUCCAAUGGACUAGAGGUGGGUUCCUUUAAAUCCUUCAAUUUGGGAAGGUCUGGGUGCCAAAAAGUGGACGUUGAGUGCAAAGAGGGUGAAGGCAGAAAAGAGAACGUUUUUGAACAUGAAGAUUAUGUCUACACUCAAUCUCUCCCUUAGUGCAAAUCCCAUGCAAUCUCAAUUUCCUACUUCAAUGGCUGAGAUAAUUGGGGGAAUUGCAACCUGUGUCUAUAGCUAAUUUGUCAAGUAGCUCUAGCUGCAGCAACUCACAAGUCUCCUUUGUGGAAACUGCAACUCAUCUGAAGAUGACAUUUCUGGUUGCGUAAUAAAUAAUGCCUUUGUAUUUGCAAGAAUAAUGAAAAGGUCUUGGUGUGAAAAGAAGUGGAUGUUAAGUGCAAAGAGAAAAUAAAAUGUAUCAAAUAUGAAGAAGGCUGUCUAACACUAAACAAUUCUCUUCUGUUGU